RNAcentral lists this long non-coding RNA (5062 nucleotides) under Medicago truncatula (barrel medic). RNAcentral describes it as "long non-coding RNA (MTRU_LNC003196)". The record is from RNAcentral. Lineage: Eukaryota; Viridiplantae; Streptophyta; Magnoliopsida; Fabales; Fabaceae.
AAUAGGUUGCGCCCAACUGCUAUUACAUAACACAAAUUUUCAUCAAAUUAUCAUUGUUAACUCUAUGUACAUUUUUUGUUUUGGUUUGUGUGAUUGGACAUUGAAAUUUGAAAAGGACACUAAAUCCAAAGGUUAUGUAACCCACCAUAUCCAAAACCAAUUACUCAUAUAAUGCUUCCCCUUUUCAAAGUCUUGAGAUUCAGUAGAAAAUAAACUUUACUAUAAACACUUCAUUGUUACUAUACUUAAAGCUAAUUUAAUCCUCAAAUAAAAGUACACUUAUUAAUUUAUCAUUGCUUAAAUUGUGUGUAUAUUUUUUGCAAUUGCAUCAUCUGAAAACUUAUCAAAGGGGUUUUUGCAUUGUUAACCUUUAGCAAAUACAAUUCAAUUGCGUUACAAUUUCUUUCCUUUGUUUCUCACUGAUUGAUAAUAAUAACAACCAAUUGCUUUACAAUAGUUACAUAAAUUCGAUCAAACUACAAUUCAAGGAAUUUCAAAUAGGAAAAUAAGAAAAAAGCAGAUGAAGAAACCAAUCUCAAUUACAGAAAUAAAAGAGAAGUAUAAAAGAAUAAGAAGAAGGAGAAACACUUCCUGCUUUGUGCUUUCUUUAGCAAUCUGUAACCGGUGCUUUUUGGUUAAUUAAUUGCAUGUAUAUGUGUAUCCGUUUUUAUAACAGGUGUUUUGAUUUGUAACUGCUGCCUUUGUUUGAAAUGAACGUGAAGCAAAAAAGUGGUUACAAAAGGGUAUUUUUGGAAGCUAAUUAGGCUACACCAAAACAAAAGUAUUGCCUUUAUUAAUAGGUAUAGAUAUUUUUUUGUUUGCCACUAGGAAGCCUACAACUAAUUACCUAUAUUUUGCAAAUAUAAAAGUCAAUUUGUUUCUUCUUUCUUCUCCUUAUUAUCUUAUUCUCUUUAUUUUUUAAAUAAAUUGCACAAAAAAAUCAUCGGUCAGACUUCUAAUAUCAUUAGUUUAAUGGGUUUCAUGGUCAAUUUUCUAUUAAAUAAUAAGAAAAAACAGUGUAUUAUAGCAUAAAUAUAGGAAAACAGUUUAUAUUAAUAGAAACGAUACAUUAAUUUCUUCAAAAAAGAAACAAUACAUUAAUAUUAAUAUUUUUAAAAUAAUAAUUUGUUUUCAAAAUUCGAUCAUAUCAACUUUCUCAUAUCGGUGUACAUAAAAUUUAAUUUUGGAGAUAUAAGCACAUGGAGAAACAAUAUAGUGAUGUUAAUAUUUUGAAAAUGGUCACGAGGUUUCCAAAUUUUAUCAUAUCGACUAUCACAUAUCGUUAAAUAAAAAAUUUCUGCUGCAUAUAUAAGCUUAUAAAAUCAUCAACGAGUGCGGUGCAAAUAUUUAUCGGUGUUUUAAAUAUAAAAUAAAAUGUUAUUUAAUUGAAAUACUACAUUGAUGUUGAUAUUUUGAAAAUAGUCGUGAGUUUUUAAAAUUUUAUCAUUUUGAAAAUAGUCACGAUUUUUCAAAAUUUUAUCGUAUCGAUUUUCUCAUAUAUGUAAGCAAAAUUUUAUUUAUGCAUAUAUAAGCACAUAAAAUCUGCAACGGGUGCGGUGCAAACAUUGGGCGGUGUUUUGGAUAUAAAAUAAAAAGUUAUUCAAUAGAAACACAAUAUAAAUGUUUAUAUUUUGACAAUAUUAAUGAGUUUCCACGAUUUUAUGAUAUCAACUUUUUCAUAUAUUUAGAUAAAAAUUUGUUUCUUCACAUAAAACACAUAUAAUCUGCAACGCGUGCGGUGCAAACAUUGAACGAUGCAUAUAAAAUAAAAAGUUAUUUAAUAAAAACACUACAUUGAUGUUGAUAUUUUGAAAAUGGUCACGAGUUUCCAAAAUUUUUUCAUAUCAAUUUUUUUAUAUAUGUACAUAAAAAAUUAUUUAUGCAAAUAUAAGCACCUAAAAUCUACAACGAGUGCGGUGCAAACAUUGAACGGAAUUUUGCAUGUAAAGUAAAAAUAUAUUCAAUAUAAACACUAUAUUAAUGUUAUAUUUUGACAAUAUUAAUGAGUUUCCACAAUUUUAUCAUAUAAACUUUAUCAUAUAUUUACGUAAUUUUUUUAUCAUAUAAACACAUAAAAUCUGCAACGGACGCGAUGCAAAUGUUGAACGACGUUUUGCAUAUAAAAUAAAAGUUUUUUUUGUUUUUUAAAGGAACAUAUAAAAUAAAAGUUAUUUAAUAGAAACAUUAAAUUAAUUUUGAUAUUUUGAAAAUAAUCAUUAGUUUUAAAAAAAUUAGUUUAUUAACUUUCUCAGAUAUGUAUAUAAAAAUUUGUUUUCGUAUACAUUAGAAAAUAAAAUCCAUAACAUAUACAAUUCAAAUAUUUUACUAUAUAUAAGAAAAAAAGUUCAAUAAAAAUAUUAUGUUAAUGUUGAUAAUUUUUAUUUAAUAUUUUUAAACAUUUGACAAUAUUAACAAUGUAAUUAUUUUUUAUAAAAUUGGCACAAUGUCACGUGAUCCGUGUGGAAGCACGAGUCUAUUACUAGUUAGUAAUAAAAGUAGAUAUUUAAAUUUGUUGUGUGGAAUUGAAAAAAUAGUUGUCCGUAAUUAUCAUGAUAAUAUAUUGGCUUUUAAAAAUGAAUAUUACGAAAUUUUGUUGGAUUUCAAUUUUUAUAUAUUAAAUUUUUUUAUAAAGAAUUUUCUUAUGUAUUGUUAGUAGAUAAAAAAACAAAAUAAAAUUUUAAAAUUAAAAAUAUUUCAAAGACUUAUUAAUUUUGACUCAAAAAAAUAUUUAUGUGUGGGAAAUUGUUAUAUCCGUGGAUAGUCCAAUAAUAUUAUUUUUUAAAAAAGAAAUAAAUUGAUUUCAUAGUUAUUUGAAAAAAAAAUUUAGAUUUGUGAUGAUCAUUAUCUAUAAUUUUUUUAAUAAAUUAAUUAAUUUCAUAUUUAUCCGUGAAAAUUUGUAGCAGUUUGCAAAAUGAUCAUGUUUUUUUUUUUAACAAGAUCAUGAGUUUUAGGGUCCGUUUGGUUCGAGAAUUAGGAGAGGAGGGGAGGGGAGGGAUUUUUACGGAGGGGAGUGGAGGGGAGAUAUUUUUAAUUAAAAGUGUGUUUGAUUCACAAGGGGAGGGGAGGGAUUUUAACAGUAUUUUACCAUUUUACCCUUAAACUUAAUUAAAUAAAAGAAACUGUUUGUUUUUACGAUUUCAGAAACUGACAAAGACAAGCACACAUCUAAGCCGCUAUUUUAUCUUAAAUAAUAAUACUACGAUAUAGACAAUGAGAUGAUGAAAUUACUCACAAUUCACUUUGGAGGAAGCCUCAAGCAGUCGUUGACAACAACAAAAUAGUAGUAAGAGCGGUUUGUACAUCUAACAAAUAAGAGUGGUAGAUUAUAUAAUAAUAAAAAUUGUUACAAGGAAAAUAUAACAAAAUAAUAAUAAUAAUUGUUACAAGAAUAAGAUAACCUAAUAAUAAUAAUAAGAUUGUUACAAAAAUAAUAUAAUCUAAUAAUAAUAAAAGUUGUUACAAGGUUAAUAUUGAGAUUUGAAAUUAAUUUAAGUAUAAUUAUGACAAUGCAAUAAAAUUUUAAAGAGAUUUGCUCCCCUCCCUUCCCCUUCCCUUCCCUUCUAAAAAUUGAACCAAACACUUCAAAUUAAAAAUCUCCCCUCCCCUUCCCUCCCCUCGCCUCCAAAACUCUACAAACGUACCUUUCCUUUCAGCAGACACGUGACGAAUUAAUUUUUUCCUUUCCCCUGUUUAACAGUGGCCGUACCUCUCUCACUCAAAACCAUAUCCGCCGCCACCGUAACUUCCUUUUUCCGGCCACCUCACGAUGGCGGUUUCACCGAUCAGUGUACUACCGGAUGAACUGCUGAUGGAAAUCCUUUCAAGAGUUGAUUCAAGUAAUCAUCUGGAUUUGAGGUGCGUUUGCAACUUGUGGAAAUCGUUAAUUCGUGAUCCUCAGUUCAUGAAGAAUCACAUUCUCAGAUCUAUUACCGGCUUUUCUUCUCUUAGUUACAAGAUCGAGGGACACUUUAUUGCUUUCAAAUCACAUAUUGUAUAUAACCCCCCGCUUGUGCCGAAUGUAGAAGAAGAUGUUGAUGUUGAUGUUGAUGUUGAUGUUGAUGGUGCUGAUUCUGGAGAGGGAGAGGGAGAGGGAGAGGGAGAGGGAGAUGAUGAUGAUGAUGAUGAUGAGGAUGAUGAUGAGGAGGAUGAGGAGGUGUUGAGAUGGAAAGCGUUGAUUAAACUAUCUAAUCUUGAACGAAAAGAGGAACAAUUGAAGAAGAGAAAAAAUAUGGAUAAAAUCGAUGAGAAAACGAUGAUAAUCAGGAUGGCUAAGUUGGAUAUUUUUUUGGUGGUUGUUAGAUAUAUGAAAAGUUUUAUGCUGAAUUAUCUCAAAUCUCUAGAGGAUAGAGAUAUAUUAAACGAGAACUUGGAAAGUCUCAGAGUUGAAAUGCAAACUAUGGAGGAUAGACUCAUGUGUCUCAAAAUCUUUAUCAAGUUUUACCUCAGGGCAAUAUCAAUAUCAAUGUUUAGUCUAGUGCAGCCCCUUUGGAACUUUAGGUUAGGAGAUUGAAUAUUUUACAAACUGAUUUUGCUGUAUUUUUAUGGAGCUUUCAAAUGAUUUGAAAAUUCUAUACAUGCCUUACAUGUAAACUAUUUGAAGGGUUUUUAUGCAGCUAUCUAGAAUUAGGAUUGAUUCUACUAUAAUAUGAAAAUGGUAACUUUGUUAUUAAUAUUGAUUUUGUAUUGAUUUCCUUUCGUUUUGGUCGAACAAGUGAAUGUUGAAAUUCAAACUCUUACCGGACUUGUUCAGAUGAGCUGCAAUCGUGAAAAGAAUCAUAAAUUGGGUCAUCUUAUAAACAUGAAGUAGGCUGGUUUUUAUUUCUGUAUUGGUUACAUUUCUGCAUUUAGUUCAACAUCUAAUGAAAAUGAAUUAGGUUGGUUUUUUAUUUUAUAUUGUUUUUUAUAACAAUACUAUUUCAGGUUGUCUGCCCUCAUUUUUAAAGUUAGAAGUAUGAAAAACUCUAUUUGUUGAUAUUCUGAAAAUUUCUAUUGAUGUUAACCUCUGGCCCAAAAUUUUCUCUGGAAUCAAUGGAAUGUCUAAUAUGCUUUAAGGAAAACUAUC